RNAcentral lists this ribosomal RNA (497 nucleotides) under uncultured bacterium. RNAcentral describes it as "partial 16S ribosomal RNA". It matches the Rfam family "Bacterial small subunit ribosomal RNA", at positions 28 to 507 of the family's 1533-position model. The record is from RNAcentral.
GAUGAACGCUGGCGGCGUGCCUAAUACAUGCAAGUCGAGCGAACAGAUGAGGAGCUUGCUCCUCUGACGUUAGCGGCGGACGGGUGAGUAACACGUGGAUAACCUACCUAUAAGACUGGGAUAACUUCGGGAAACCGGAGCUAAUACCGGAUAAUAUAUUGAACCGCAUGGUUCAAUAGUGAAAGACGGUUUUGCUGUCACUUAUAGAUGGAUCCGCGCCGCAUUAGCUAGUUGGUAAGGUAACGGCUUACCAAGGCAACGAUGCGUAGCCGACCUGAGAGGGUGAUAGGCCACCCUGGAACUGAGACAGGGUCCAGACUCCUACGGGAGGCAGCAGUAGGGACUCUUCCGCAAUGGGCGAAAGCCUGACGGAGCAAAGCCGCGUGAGUGAUGAAGGUGUUCGGAUCGUAAAACGAUGUUAUUAGGGAAGAACAAAUGUGUAAGUAACUAUGCACGUCUUGACGGUACCUAAUCAGAAAGCCACGGCUAACUACGUG